Molecule: ribosomal RNA, 465 nt
Filed under: uncultured bacterium
Lineage: Bacteria
Description: partial 16S ribosomal RNA
Rfam family: Bacterial small subunit ribosomal RNA
Source: RNAcentral
GACGAACGCUGGCGGCGUGCUUAACACAUGCAAGUCGUACGGUAAGGCCCUUUCGGGGGUACACGAGUGGCGAACGGGUGAGUAACACGUAAGUAACCUGCCCACAACUUUGGGAUAACGCUAGGAAACUGGUGCUAAUACUGGAUAUGUGCUCCUGCUGCAUGGUGGUGGUUGGAAAGCUCCGGGGGUUGUGGAUGGACUCGCGGCCUAUCAGCUUGUUGGUGGGGUAGUGGCCUACCAAGGCGGCGACGGGUAGCCGGCCUGAGAGGGUGACCGGCGACAUUGAGACCGAGAGACGGCACAGACACCGACGGGAGGCAGCAGGGCGGAAUAUUGAACGAGGGGCGCCAGCCGGAUGCAGAAGCGCCGCGGGCGGGAUGACGGCCUUAGGGUUGUAAACCGCUUUCAGCAGGGACGAAGCUUUUUGUGACGGUACCUGAAGAAGAAGCACCGGCUAACUACGUG